Molecule: unclassified non-coding RNA, 575 nt
Filed under: Hevea brasiliensis (rubber tree)
Lineage: Eukaryota; Viridiplantae; Streptophyta; Magnoliopsida; Malpighiales; Euphorbiaceae
Source: RNAcentral
GCUUGUCAAUAACCAAUGGCAAGCCGCUGCCCCCUAAAUAUGGUCGUGUGAUGCGAAACAUCAAUUCCUCUAAAAUGCCUACAAUCGCAGCAAUAGUUCAAUCAUCUCCAGAUAAAAAAAGCUUUUGGUCCGGAUGAGAAGUUUCGUCAGUCGAAGAUAAUGAGGAAUGGGAAUGUCGCAUUGCAGAAUUCCACUACCAAUGGCAUGGAAAAUAGUAUUAACCAACUACCAUCUGCGCCAAAGAUGCAAAAUGACCAAAGAAUGGGAGGAACUGAUAAUGUGUCCGGUAAAGGAAAUGUGGAGAGUAAAGUUGCUUCUGCAGCCUGUUCCAGCAAUUUGACUUUGGAAAUCUGUUCAAAUAAUUUGGCAGUGUCUUCCAAUGAUAAUGGUUUCUCUCCUGCUAGCUCAAUGAUAUCUUUUGAACAGAAGGUGGUUGAAGUGAAAUCUCAGCCUCCUGCAAUACCUGAAACAGUUACCAUCUCAUUUGAUCACUCGCAAGCGUGGAAUCACCUGCAGGCCAAUGGCCAUGCACAGCUAGCGAAUAGUGUAGAGAUACCUUCCCAACAGUUUCCUGG